UUUUUUUUUUUUUUUUUGUUUCUUGUUUUUUGUUUUUUAAAUGUCUCCAAACCUCCUUGUCCAGACCGUCUCCGCCUGACAGGUUUUCUAGGUCACCUUAGACUGCCUUGAACAGAUUGAGCUAGCUCUGCAGUGACAGGAGAGUGGCAGGCUCCCGAGACCUGACUCUGAACUAACUAGGUCACCCCAUGUCUAUGUGUGACUGCUGAUAACGUUGACUAAGGCUGACAGUGGCAGGCACUGUUGUCCUGUGUGCUGAUUCAGCUGACAUAAUUCCGAAGCAGGGGCUUUAAGAGAAGGAAUGAUUUCUCUAAGUUACAGGUGCGGAGCAUUCAGAACUGGGUGCACGAGAUAUUACUGAGUCUGCCUGCGCCCGGAACCACUGUGCUUGCUCUGCCCUGUCAGGCCUGGGCUCCUGGCCUUCUUUCUAGACCUCUUCUUGAUGGUGGUGCUCUCGCAUGUUUAUGAGACGUGGACUGUGACAGGGAAACGAGUAGUCCCUGGAAGCAGUCUGGACUUAAUGAAGGUCCUUGUAACAGUUAAUAGGACCAGAACAAUUAGUCUCGCCUGCUUAGCUUCCCAGUUGUCCAUGGCCUCUUAAUACCAGACAAAAUAGCUGUUGUUAUAAGCAGUCAUGGUGGUGGGGACUGUCUAGCUGAGUUUAGCAAAAGACAAUCCUUAGGUUCAGCAGCCUGUGAGGAAGGACUACCUCCAUGUUUGCUCUUGGUGACUUGAAGGAUGCGAGAGUAUGUGUGUGGGCUAUAUGUAAAUACUGCACCAUUUAAAUAAGGGGGACUGGCACUUGCCAGGAUUUGGGAAUAUACGGAGGUCCCUCACAUAGCAUGCCAGGCAUGAAGAAUGUCUGAAGGGUUUUGUUGCAUGUUUUAAUGGUCCAGUCAGCUGCCUUGUAUCCAGCCCUUCCCUCAGCCCAAUUCAGUGCUCUCUUGUUCCCCACAGAGCUGGAAGUGGCAGGUCUCUUGGAUGUACAUAACUCACCUGAAUACUGUGUUGUUUUGAUUUUCUAGUACCCAAGGUUGAAGCCAUAAAGAAAAGACUGGGUUCCCUGGCAGAUGAGUUUAAAGAACUUGUCUAUCCUCCAGGUUAUAAUCCCGAGGGAAAAGUUGCCAAGAGAAAACAAGGUAAGGGCUGGGUGUGGAUAGAUGCAUAUGCUCCCUUUAAAGGUGCUUCAUGGUCUUACCUCACGGUGAUUUGUCUCCUUUCUCUUCAUUUUGGGAAUGGUGGUGGGUGUACUGUGGGGGUGAGGAGGUCAAAGUCAGGACUUCACACAAGCAAGCAAGCAGUGGUAUCACUGAGCUGCAGCCGGGUCUUCUCAGAAAUUUGUAUAUAUGGCAUACCGUGGCUCAGUGUUACAAAUCCUUGCCUAGAAACUUCUACACAACUGCAUUUUGGCACAAAUGGAGUGCUUAUAUUGUUUCCUUGUGUGGGGGAGGGAGAGGUAGUAUGGGCACAUUUGUGCCAUGGCACAUGUGUGCAGCUUGAAGCACAACUCUGUGGAGUCAGUUUUCUUCCAUCCUUAUGUGGUUUAUAUGGCAAAUACUUGGAUCUGAUGAACCAUUCACUAGCCCACUAUUUUACAAAAUUUCUUUUAGAUUUAUCUUAUUACUUUAUGGGUGUUUUGCCUGUAGAGGUUAGAAGAGGGUAUCAGAUCUCUGGGAACUGGAGUUCCAGGUGGUCAUGAGCUACCAUGCAACUCUGGGUACCAAACUCAUUUUGCAAGAGCACAAAAUGUACUUAAACCUUAGGCCAUCUCCAGUUUCUCUACCUCAUCUUUAAAAAUUAGGCUGCUGGGCUGGAGAAGAUGGCUCAGUGGUUAAGAACACUGACUGCUCUUCCAGAGGUCCUGAGUUUAAUUCCCAGCAACUACAUGGUAGCUCACAAUGGGAUCUGAUGCUCUCUUCUGACAUGUCUGAAGCUACAAUGUACUGUAUUUUAUAUAUAUAAAAUAAAUGCUUUAAAUAAAUAAAUCCUUUUAAAAAAAUUAGGCUGCUGAGAUGGCUCAGUAAGGCAUUUGCCCUGUGCAAGUCUAGUAACCUGAGUUGCCUCCCUGGAACCCAAAUAAAAGUGGGAGGAGAGAACUAAUUCCACAAAGUUGUUCUCCUAUGUCCACACACCCAAAUACACAAUAAAAAUGUUUUUAAAGUUAGGUUGCAGUCUACUUAGGGUAGGUCAGUGGCUAGGAAUCCCUGCUUCUUAUUUAAUGAGACCUCUUUUUAGGGCAUAUUCUACAGUGAACUAGUCAAUGAGAGACCCGACAUCAAGGGAGGAAGGUGGGGAGGCAGAGAUGAGGACUCAACAUCCUCCCCUCUGGCUUCUACAAAGACAUGCACCUAUACCCAAAGCAAGCCAGUAAGGAACAUCUCUCCAUGGCCUCUGCAUCAGUAGGCUCCAUGAGCCAUCUUUCUAGCCCCUAAUUAUCUAAAUUUCUAUAAAAGGAAGUGACAGAGGGAAUAUAUGCCCUGCUUUGAUGUCUAUGUAGUUCUCUAGUUGGGAGUGGAGUAGUUUCAUUAGGCUUUUUUCUACCUGGUCUCUGAUCCUGGCACUGACCACUUGCUAUAGGACAGGGCUUAUUACUGGUAGACCCCAAGCUUCCUCUACUAUGAGGAAGAAGCACUUGUAAAGCAGCACUGGGCACAGUCACCAUUUUGGAAUGGUUCUGGAUUGUUCUUUUGACUAAGUCAAGUCAUAUUUAAGCCUUGUUACCUAAUACAUCCAUGAAGAAAGCCAGGUCAGACUGGGACCAUCCUGCUUGUACCAUUUUGCAUCAGAACCAACUCUGUCAUGUCCUGGAAGUUGUCAUCAGACAUUGUCUGUGGUUUUUUGCCCUGCUGGUUUUAUUGCCUGGUGCCUCAGAACUUAACACAAUGUUUCUCAAUGUUUUUUCCCCUUACCCUUUGGAUGUGCUGGAAUUUAAAAUGGGGUCUAGCAAUGCUGUACUUCUAGUCCCUGUACAUUUUUUUGGGGGAAAAGAAGCAGGGCAGUGGUGGCGCAUGCCUUUAAUCCCAGCACUUGGGAGGCAGAGGCAGGUGGAUCUCUGAGUUCAAGGCCAGCCUGGUCUACAGAGUGAGUUCCAGGACAGCCAGGGCUAUACAGAGAAACCCUGUCUUGAGAAAAACU
Molecule: long non-coding RNA, 3135 nt
Filed under: Mus musculus (house mouse)
Lineage: Eukaryota; Metazoa; Chordata; Mammalia; Rodentia; Muridae
Description: long non-coding RNA chr15:82036431-82039566
Source: RNAcentral